AUGGGUCCCUAUGGGUCCCUAUGGGUCCCUAUGGGUCCCUAUGGGUCUCUAUGGGUCCCUAUGGGUCUCCCUGCCCCACACUUUAGGCUGGAGCCCGGCUCAGGCCCAGAUGUUGGGGACACAGUUUUGGGGUCAGCGCCCCCCAGGUGAGUGAUGACGUCAUCAGUGACGUCACCGGGUGUGAUGACAUCAUCGUGAUGACAUCAUAGGGUGGAUGACGUCAUCAACCCACCCCCCCCCAUAUCUGUGACCCACAGAGCAGGAACCGGGACCUAAAAUCAGGUACUUAUGGGGUGAUAUGGGGUCCCUAUGGGGUCUCUAUGGGUCCCUAUGGGGUCUCUAUGGGUCCCUAUGGGUCCCUAUGGGUCUCUAUGGGUCCCUAUGGGUCUCUAUGGGUCCCUAUGGGGUCACUAUGGGUCCUAUGGGGUCUCUAUGGGUCUUAUGGGUUGCUAUGGAUCCUAUGGGGUCCCUAUGGGUCUCAAUGGGUUCGCUAUGGGUCCCUAUGGGUCUCUGUGGGUCCUAUGGGGUCCCUAUGGGUCUCUAUGGGGUUAUUAUGGGGUCCUAUGGGGUCAGUAUUGGUCUCUAUGGGGUCCCUAUGGGGUCUCUAUGGGUCUUAUGGGUCCCUAUGGGGUUCUUAUGGGGUCCUAUGGGUUUCUAUGGGUCCCUAUGGGGUCUCUAUGGGUCCCUAUGAGGUUCCUAUGGGUUUCUAUGGGUCCUAUGGGUUCGCUAUGGGUCCCUAUGGGUCCUAUGGGUUUCUAUGGUCCCUAUGGGGUCCCUAUGGGUCUCUAUGGGUUCGCUAUGGGUCCCUAUUGGGUUCUUAUGGGUCCCUAUGGGGUCUCUAUGGGUCCUAUGGGGUCUUUAUGGGUCACUAUGGGGUUGCUAUGGGUCCCUAUGGGGUUGUUAUGGGUCUCUAUGGGUUUCUAUGGGGUCCCUAUGGGGUCAUUAUGGGUCUUAUGGGGUCUCUAUGGGGUUGUUAUGGGUCCCUAUGGGGUUAUUAUGGGUCUUAUGGGGUCCCUAUGGGGUUUUUAUGGGUCCCUGUGGGUCACUAUGGGGUCUCUAUGGGUCCCUAUGGGGUUGUUAUGGGUCCUAUGGGGUCAUUAUGGGUCUCUGUGGGUCCCUAUGGGGUUGUUAUGGGUCCCUAUGGGUUGUAUGGGUCUUAUGGGUCUCUAUGGGGUCCCUAUGGGUCCCUAUGGGGNGGUCUCCCUGCCCCACACUUUAGGCUGGAGCCCGGUUCAGGCCCAGAUGUUGGGGACACAGUUUUGGGGUCAGCGCCCCCCAGAGCAGGAACCAGGACCUAAAAUCAGGUUCACAGCGGAGCUGGCUCGUGCCUACCUGGCUGUGAGGCUCAGGAGGGACCACGCGGCUGUGGGGCGGGCACUGCAAGAGGGCGGCCCACGAGUUAUGGGGCGGCAGCGUGCGGCACUACGUGUGUGUGGGGCCAUCCAGGGCCAUGAGGGACAUGGGGGAGAGACUGAGACACGGUGAGGGGGU
This is a long non-coding RNA of Coturnix japonica (Japanese quail), 1491 nucleotides long. NCBI's taxonomy places the organism in Eukaryota, Metazoa, Chordata, Aves, Galliformes, Phasianidae. The record is from Ensembl.